RNAcentral lists this long non-coding RNA (322 nucleotides) under Panax ginseng (ginseng). RNAcentral's name for it is "long non-coding RNA (PGIN_LNC003645)". Lineage: Eukaryota; Viridiplantae; Streptophyta; Magnoliopsida; Apiales; Araliaceae. The record is from RNAcentral.
UGAGGAGGAACCUAUGGAGGAUCCUAUUUCUCCCACAUAGGAUGAACUAUUUGCUGGUUUGACAUCAAUUCUGGUCAGUUACAUUCCUAUCUCUUCAGCUAUUAUUAACACACCUUUUGUAGAGUCUUUAGAGCAUAUGAUACAGCUUCUGACCUUUGAGAGGGAUCAGGCUAUAACAUUGAUGUUGAUGACCCUAUCUGGCCAAGACACUGCUAUUGCUGAGAGGGAUGUGGCCCGAGCUACUAGGGAUGCUUCUGCUGCUGAUAGUAUUGCUCUCAGAUCCUAUAUGGAGGGCAUUAUCGCAGAUACAAGUGUAUUUAUG